RNAcentral lists this non-coding RNA (166 nucleotides) under uncultured Agathobacter sp. Lineage: Bacteria; Bacillati; Bacillota; Clostridia; Lachnospirales; Lachnospiraceae. The record is from RNAcentral.
AGCGAAGCUGGUUAGAUACUGUAGAAUUAUGCACAUGAAACACAGAAAUGCCCAGCCAUGGAUGGCUGGGCAAGGUGUUAUGCGCCAUGGACGGCGCAUAAAAGCCGGUUUCGUCAAGCAUAGAAACACUAUAAAGCAUAAUUCGUACAGAAUCUUAACAGCAAAG